CAUUAUCCGUAGAUGCUGCCGGAGAGGGGGGUCGAAUCCCCUUUCCCAGUGCGCUACAAGAAACCCAAAACCGUGUACCUGACCAUGUUGCUUCCCCGGACCCCCAGGGCGACCUGCGGUGGACCGGGAGAAGGGCCGGAAUGCAUUUCCUGGAAACCCCCCAACCAGCCUGUGGAUGAGACGUCUGACGCUGGCCUUCGCGCCACCGGUUUUGUUUUAACAUACUUAAAACUUUCAACAACGGAUCUCUUGGUUCUCGCAUCGAUGAAGAACGCAGCGAAAUGCGAUAAGUAAUGUGAAUUGCAGAAUUCAGUGAAUCAUCGAAUCUUUGAACGCACAUUGCGCCCCAGGGCAUUCCUUGGGGCAUGCCUGCUCGAGCGUCACGUAAAAACCCCCUCACAAGCAUUUGUGGUGCUGGCGGAUGUGGCCACCCCCAGUUUUGGGGGUACCCACACCGCUGAAAUGGAUCAGGCGGACGCAGCCCCCUCUCGCCAACUGGCUUAGUAAAAUCGACGUGAAGUCAACCAGCCAGGAGGGAGGGAGACGUCUUGCCCACAGUAAAGGACCCCGCAUCCACGGAGGUGAGAAGCCUUGGGUUGACCUCGGAUCAGGUAGGGAUACCCGCUGAACUUAAGCAUAUCAAUAAGCGGAGGAAAAGAAACCAACAGG
RNAcentral lists this ribosomal RNA (669 nucleotides) under Tuberaceae sp. 2 GB-2013. Its description in RNAcentral is "eukaryotic LSU rRNA". The stretch from base 230 to 383 matches the Rfam family "5.8S ribosomal RNA". The record is from RNAcentral. Lineage: Eukaryota; Fungi; Ascomycota; Pezizomycetes; Pezizales; Tuberaceae.